AGGACGAACGCUGGCGGCGUGCCUAAUGCAUGCAAGUCGAGCGACGCAUACUGGAGGGGUAACCCACCGGUAUGACGGAGCGGCGAACGGGUGAGUAACACGUGAGCAACCUGCCCCGAAGACCGGGAUAGCCCAGGGAAACUUGGAUUAAUACCGGAUAUCCUCGGACGUCUUCCUGGACGACUGAGGAAAGCUUUUGCGCUUCGGGAUGGGCUCGCGGCCUAUCAGCUUGUUGGUGGGGUAACGGCCUACCAAGGCAUCGACGGGUAGCUGGUCUGAGAGGACGAUCAGCCACACUGGGACUGAGACACGGCCCAGACUCCGUACGGGAGCAGCAGCAGGGAAUCGUUGCGCAAGUGGGACGAAAGCCUAGACGCAGCAACGCCGCGGUGGGGAUGGACGGCCGUUCGGUUCGUAAACCCGUUUCGAGGAGGAUGUAAAUUCGACUAGUACCUUCGAAGUAAGAACGGCCCCGGACCAACCGUACGU
This 489-nucleotide ribosomal RNA is filed under the name uncultured soil bacterium. RNAcentral's name for it is "bacterial SSU rRNA". It matches the Rfam family "Bacterial small subunit ribosomal RNA", at positions 26 to 518 of the family's 1533-position model. The record is from RNAcentral.